This 854-nucleotide long non-coding RNA is filed under the name Pan troglodytes (chimpanzee). Its description in RNAcentral is "long non-coding RNA NONPTRT009983". The record is from RNAcentral. Lineage: Eukaryota; Metazoa; Chordata; Mammalia; Primates; Hominidae.
AUUACAGUUUCCCCUCUAAUAUAUUGCUGAGGGUGAGAACAAUACCAAAAUAACAGGACUGCCUUUUACUUAUUUCUUUGCCCAGUAAAAUGGAUUAAAGUGAGUCAGCAAAAGGGAGAAAGAAGGAGGGGAAGUUAAGGACUUCUUCAAAAUCUACCUCAUCAUUUUGGAGCUCUUAGUCCUCAAUUCCAUCAAACACAGUGGUGGGAAGGACAUCUUCCAAAUGGCAGCUCAUUUUACCUUAAUAGUUGGUGUUUCCAGGUGAAGAGGCCAAAUAAAUGGAAGUCUGGGCACCUUCUACUGGAGUUUUGAAAAAAGCCCAUGACACCAAAUUGAAGAGUGGUUUGACCAACAGUGGAAUGUGUAUGUGCCUCCCCAGAUUUGUCCGUACAAUACCAGGAUGCAACACAUUGACGGUGACAUUUGUGCCUUCUAAGCGGCGGGCUAGUUCCCUGGUAAAAAGAAUGUUAGCCAGUUUGCUCCGGCUAUAACAAAAGCUUUUAUUAUAGCUUUGUUCACUGUUCAAGUCAUCAAAGUUGAUGUCUCCGUAUUUAUAAAGUUUGGAAGAAACUACCACAAUCCUGCUGGGAGCUGAACUUUUGAGGAGUCCAAGGAGAAGAUUGGUGAGUAGAAAGUGCCCCAGAUGGUUCACUCCGAACUGCAUCUCAAACCCAUCUUCAGUCUUCAUGUAAGGGCACUGGAAGAUCCCUGCGUUAUUGAUCAAGACAUCCAGCCUAGGCUCUUCCUUUAAAUGUCAAAAAGAGAAUGGCAGAAUUAUUAAGAACACAUGCCUUGUAUUGCUUUUUCUGUUCAUGAUAAUUACAUUUUAAUAAAAAUGGGCACUUGAGACUAAA